UGGUGUGAAUUGCAGAAUCCCGUGAACCAUCGAGUCUUUGAACGCAAGUUGCGCCCGAGGCUUAGGUUGAGGGCACGUCUGCCUGGGUGUCACGC
Molecule: ribosomal RNA, 95 nt
Filed under: Sacoglottis sp. US:Tripp2984
Lineage: Eukaryota; Viridiplantae; Streptophyta; Magnoliopsida; Malpighiales; Humiriaceae
Description: partial 5.8S ribosomal RNA
Rfam family: 5.8S ribosomal RNA
About the family: 5.8S ribosomal RNA (5.8S rRNA) is a component of the large subunit of the eukaryotic ribosome.
Source: RNAcentral